Molecule: ribosomal RNA, 219 nt
Filed under: bacterium
Lineage: Bacteria
Description: partial 23S ribosomal RNA
Rfam family: Bacterial large subunit ribosomal RNA
Source: RNAcentral
AAUCAAGCGUUUAAGGGCGUGUAGUGGAUGCCUUGGCACUGAAAGCCGAUGAAGGACGUGAUAUACUGCGAUAAGUUUCGGGGAGCUGUAUGUAAGUUUUGAUCCGAAAAUUUCCGAAUGGGGAAACCCACCACUUUAUGUGGUACUUUAAACUGAAUACAUAGGUUUAAAGAGACAACCUGGAGAACUGAAACAUCUAAGUAACCAGAGGAAAAGAAA